RNAcentral lists this ribosomal RNA (105 nucleotides) under uncultured eukaryote. RNAcentral describes it as "partial small subunit ribosomal RNA". The record is from RNAcentral.
GUCGCUCCUACCGAUUUCGAGUGGUCCGGUGAAUCUUUCGGACUGCGCGCGGCUUCGUGCCGUGCCGCGGAAAGUCAGGUAAACCUUAUCACUUAGAGGAAGGAG